RNAcentral lists this ribosomal RNA (301 nucleotides) under uncultured bacterium. RNAcentral's name for it is "partial 16S ribosomal RNA". It matches the Rfam family "Bacterial small subunit ribosomal RNA", at positions 509 to 807 of the family's 1533-position model. The record is from RNAcentral.
CAGCAGCCACGGUAAUACGUAGGGUGCAAGCGUUAAUCGGAAUUACUGGGCGUAAAGCGUGCGUAGGCGGCUUCUUAAGUCGGAUGUGAAAUCCCUGAGCUUAACUUAGGAAUUGCAUUCGAUACUGGGAAGCUAGAGUAUGGGAGAGGAUGGUAGAAUUCCAGGUGUAGCGGUGAAAUGCGUAGAGAUCUGGAGGAAUACCGAUGGCGAAGGCAGCCAUCUGGCCUAAUACUGACGCUGAGGUACGAAAGCAUGGGGAGCAAACAGGAUUAGAUACCCGAGUAGUCCCUGUCUCUUAUAC